AAUCAACGCUGGCGGCGUGCCUCAGACAUGCAAGUCGAACGAUUAAAGCUCUCUUCGGAGAGUGUAUAGAGUGGCGCACGGGGUGAGUAACACGUAAGUAAUCUACCUUUGAGUGGGGAAUAACAGUCGGAAACGACUGCUAAUACCGCAUAAUGCAGCGGCACCGCAAAGGUGACAGUUGUUAAAGGAGCAAUUCGCUUAAAAGAGGAGCUUGCGGCAGAUAGCUUGUUGGUAAGGUAACGGCUUACCAAGGCUACGAUCUGUAUCCGGUCUUAGAGGACGGUCGGACACACUGACACUGAAUAACGGGUCAGACUCCUACGGGAGGCAGC
RNAcentral lists this ribosomal RNA (332 nucleotides) under uncultured bacterium. RNAcentral describes it as "bacterial SSU rRNA". It matches the Rfam family "Bacterial small subunit ribosomal RNA", at positions 32 to 352 of the family's 1533-position model. The record is from RNAcentral.